UCUCGAUUGGUCUAGUGGUCAGGAUACCUGCUUGUCAUAUAUGAACAAGUUCGCAGGUGGCCGGGGUUCGAUUCCCCGAUCGAGAG
This 86-nucleotide transfer RNA is filed under the name Annulohypoxylon stygium. RNAcentral describes it as "tRNA-Asp". It matches the Rfam family "tRNA". Rfam says of the family: Transfer RNA (tRNA) molecules are approximately 80 nucleotides in length. Their secondary structure includes four short double-helical elements and three loops (D, anti-codon, and T loops). Further hydrogen bonds mediate the characteristic L-shaped molecular structure. tRNAs have two regions of fundamental functional importance: the anti-codon, which is responsible for specific mRNA codon recognition, and the 3' end, to which the tRNAs corresponding amino acid is attached (by aminoacyl-tRNA synthetases). tRNAs cope with the degeneracy of the genetic code in two manners: having more than one tRNA (with a specific anti-codon) for a particular amino acid; and 'wobble' base-pairing, i.e. permitting non-standard base-pairing at the 3rd anti-codon position. The record is from RNAcentral. Lineage: Eukaryota; Fungi; Ascomycota; Sordariomycetes; Xylariales; Hypoxylaceae.